RNAcentral lists this microRNA (22 nucleotides) under Branchiostoma floridae (Florida lancelet). Its description in RNAcentral is "bfl-miR-4865-5p". Lineage: Eukaryota; Metazoa; Chordata; Leptocardii; Amphioxiformes; Branchiostomatidae. RNAcentral also lists the same sequence under 1 other name. The record is from miRBase by way of RNAcentral.
GCUUGUCACUUCCAAUACAUGC